GAUGAACGCUGGCUACAGGCUUAACACAUGCAAGUCGAGGGGAAACGACGGGGAAGCUUGCUUCCCCGGGCGUCGACCGGCGCACGGGUGAGUAACGCGUAUCCAACCUGCCUCUGACUGAGGGAUAACCCGUCGAAAGUCGGCCUAAUACCUCAUGGCAUCGUCUGCGGGCAUCCAACGACGAUUAAAGAUUUCAUCGGUCAGGGAUGGGGAUGCGUCUGAUUAGCUAGUUGGCGGGGUAACGGCCCACCAAGGCUACGAUCAGUAGGGGUUCUGAGAGGAAGGUCCCCCACAUUGGAACUGAGACACGGUCCAAACUCCUACGGGAGGCAGCAGUGAGGAAUAUUGGUCAAUGGGCGAGAGCCUGAACCAGCCAAGUAGCGUGCAGGAUGACGGCCCUAUGGGUUGUAAACUGCUUUUAUGCGGGGAUAAAGUGAAGGACGUGUCCUUCAUUGCAGGUACCGCAUGAAUAAGGACCGGCUAAUUCCGUGCCAGCAGCCGCGGUAAUACGGAAGGUCCGGGCGUUAUCCGGAUUUAUUGGGUUUAAAGGGAGCGUAGGCCGUGGAUUAAGCGUGUUGUGAAAUGCAGGUGCUCAACGUCUGCACUGCAGCGCGAACUGGUCCACUUGAGUGUGCACAACGCAGGCGGAAUUCGUCGUGUAGCGGUGAAAUGCUUAGAUAUGACGAAGAACUCCGAUUGCGAAGGCAGCUUGCGGGAGCACAACUGACGCUGAAGCUCGAAAGUGCGGGCAUCGAACAGG
This 760-nucleotide ribosomal RNA is filed under the name uncultured Prevotella sp. Its description in RNAcentral is "bacterial SSU rRNA". It matches the Rfam family "Bacterial small subunit ribosomal RNA", at positions 28 to 776 of the family's 1533-position model. The record is from RNAcentral. Lineage: Bacteria; Pseudomonadati; Bacteroidota; Bacteroidia; Bacteroidales; Prevotellaceae.